This 329-nucleotide ribosomal RNA is filed under the name uncultured Anoxybacillus sp. RNAcentral's name for it is "bacterial SSU rRNA". It matches the Rfam family "Bacterial small subunit ribosomal RNA", at positions 1051 to 1382 of the family's 1533-position model. Lineage: Bacteria; Bacillati; Bacillota; Bacilli; Caryophanales; Anoxybacillaceae. The record is from RNAcentral.
GUCGUCAGCUCGUGUCGUGAGAUGUUGGGUUAAGUCCCGCAACGAGCGCAACCCUCGCCUCUAGUUGCCAGCAUUCAGUUGGGCACUCUAAGGUGACUGCCGGCUAAAAGUCGGAGAAGGUGGGGAUGACGUCAAAUCAUCAUGCCCCUUAUGACCUGGGCUACACACGUGCUACAAUGGGCGGUACAAAGGGUCGCGAACCCGCGAGGGGGAGCCAAUCCCAAAAAGCCGCUCUCAGUUCGGAUUGCAGGCUGCAACUCGCCUGCAUGAAGCCGGAAUCGCUAGUAAUCGCGGAUCAGCAUGCCGCGGUGAAUACGUUCCCGGGCCUU